GAUGAACGCUGGCGGCGUGCCUAAUACAUGCAAGUCGAGCGAACGGACGAGAAGCUUGCUUCUCUGAUGUUAGCGGCGGACGGGUGAGUAACACGUGGAUAACCUACCUAUAAGACUGGGAUAACUUCGGGAAACCGGAGCUAAUACCGGAUAAUAUUUUGAACCGCAUGGUUCAAAAGUGAAAGACGGCCUUGCUGUCACUUAUAGAUGGAUCCGCGCUGCAUUAGCUAGUUGGUAAGGUAACGGCUUACCAAGGCAACGAUGCAUAGCCGACCUGAGAGGGUGAUCGGCCACACUGGAACUGAGACACGGUCCAGACUCCUACGGGAGGCAGCAGUAGGGAAUCUUCCGCAAUGGGCGAAAGCCUGACGGAGCAACGCCGCGUGAGUGAUGAAGGUCUUCGGAUCGUAAAACUCUGUUAUUAGGGAAGAACAUAUGUGUAAGUAACUGUGCACAUCUUGACGGUACCUAAUCAGAAAGCCACGGCUAACUACGUGCCAGCAGCCGCGGUAAUACGUAGGUGGCAAGCGUUAUCCGGAAUUAUUGGGCGUAAAGCGCGCGUAGGCGGUUUUUUAAGUCUGAUGUGAAAGCCCACGGCUCAACCGUGGAGGGUCAUUGGAAACUGGAAAACUUGAGUGCAGAAGAGGAAAGUGGAAUUCCAUGUGUAGCGGUGAAAUGCGCAGAGAUAUGGAGGAACACCAGUGGCGAAGGCGACUUUCUGGUCUGUAACUGACGCUGAUGUGCGAAAGCGUGGGGAUCAAACAGGAUUAGAUACCCUGGUAGUCCACGCCGUAAACGAUGAGUGCUAAGUGUUAGGGGGUUUCCGCCCCUUAGUGCUGCAGCUAACACAUUAAGCACUCCGCCUGGGGAGUACGACCGCAAGGUUGAAACUCAAAGGAAUUGACGGGGACCCGCACAAGCGGUGGAGCAUGUGGUUUAAUUCGAAGCAACGCGAAGAACCUUACCAAAUCUUGACAUCCUUUGACAACUCUAGAGAUAGAGCCUUCCCCUUCGGGGGGGCAAAGUGACAGGUGGUGCAUGGUUGUCGUCAGCUCGUGUCGUGAGAUGUUGGGUUAAGUCCCGCAACGAGCGCAACCCUUAAGCUUAGUUGCCAUCAUUAAGUUGGGCACUCUAAGUUGACUGCCGGUGACAAACCGGAGGAAGGUGGGGAUGACGUCAAAUCAUCAUGCCCCUUAUGAUUUGGGCUACACACGUGCUACAAUGGACAAUACAAAGGGCAGCGAAACCGCGAGGUCAAGCAAAUCCCAUAAAGUUGUUCUCAGUUCGGAUUGUAGUCUGCAACUCGACUACAUGAAGCUGGAAUCGCUAGUAAUCGUAGAUCAGCAUGCUACGGUGAAUACGUUCCCGGGUCU
RNAcentral lists this ribosomal RNA (1373 nucleotides) under uncultured bacterium. Its description in RNAcentral is "bacterial SSU rRNA". It matches the Rfam family "Bacterial small subunit ribosomal RNA", at positions 28 to 1381 of the family's 1533-position model. The record is from RNAcentral.